This 383-nucleotide ribosomal RNA is filed under the name uncultured eukaryote. RNAcentral describes it as "partial 18S ribosomal RNA". It matches the Rfam family "Eukaryotic small subunit ribosomal RNA", at positions 592 to 976 of the family's 1831-position model. The record is from RNAcentral.
CAAUAGCGUAUAUUAAAGUUGUUGCAGUUAAAAAGCUCGUAGUUGGAUUUCUGGUAGGAGUGACCGUUCCGAGCUUGAUUGUUCGUGUAUUGUGUUUUCUCCAGCCAUCCUUGUGGAGAACUUUUCUUGCAUUAAUUUGUAGGGAUUGGGACCCGCAUCGUUUACUGUGAAAAAAUUAGAGUGUUUAAAGCAGGCAAUCGCUUGAAUACAUUAGCAUGGAAUAAUAAGAUAGGACUUUGGUACUAUUUUGUUGGUUUGCAUACCAAAUUAAUGAUCAACAGGAACAGUUUGAGGAUAUUCGUAUGAACACGUCAGAGGUGAAAUUCUUGGAUUUUGAUCAGACGAACUACUGCGAAAGCAUUUAUCAAGGAUGUUUUCAUUAA